GAUGAACGCUAGCGGCAGGCCUAAUACAUGCAAGUCGAGGGGUAGUGGAAGCUUGCUUCCAUGAGACCGGCGCACGGGUGCGUAACGCGUAUGCAACCUACCUCUAUCUGGGGGAUAGCCCGGAGAAAUCCGGAUUAACACCGCAUAAAAUCACAGUACGGCAUCGUACAAUGAUCAAAUAUUUAUAGGAUAGGGAUGGGCAUGCGUGUCAUUAGUUAGUUGGCGGGGUAACGGGCCCACCAAGACCACGAUGACUAGGGGAGUCUGAGAGGAUGGCCCCCACCACU
This 287-nucleotide ribosomal RNA is filed under the name uncultured bacterium. RNAcentral describes it as "partial 16S ribosomal RNA". It matches the Rfam family "Bacterial small subunit ribosomal RNA", at positions 28 to 315 of the family's 1533-position model. The record is from RNAcentral.